UAGGGAAUCUUCGGCAAUGGGGGCAACCCUGACCGAGCAACGCCGCGUGAGUGAAGAAGGUUUUCGGAUCGUAAAGCUCUGUUGUAAGAGAAGAACGUGUGUGAGAGUGGAAAGUUCACACAGUGACGGUAACUUACCAGAAAGGGACGGCUAACUACGUGCCAGCAGCCGCGGUAAUACGUAGGUCCCGAGCGUUGUCCGGAUUUAUUGGGCGUAAAGCGAGCGCAGGCGGUUUAAUAAGUCUGAAGUUAAAGGCAGUGGCUUAACCAUUGUUCGCUUUGGAAACUGUUAAACUUGAGUGCAGAAGGGGAGAGUGGAGUUCCAUGUGUAGCGGUGAAAUGCGUAGAUAUAUGGAGGAGCACCGGUGGCGAAAGCGGCUCUCUGGUCUGUAACUGACGCUGAGGCUCGAAAGCGUGGGGAGCAAACAGG
Molecule: ribosomal RNA, 429 nt
Filed under: bacterium
Lineage: Bacteria
Description: partial 16S ribosomal RNA
Rfam family: Bacterial small subunit ribosomal RNA
Source: RNAcentral